UAUCUCUGUAGAGUCUGCAUAUCAAUAAGCGGAGGAAAAGAAACUAACUAGGAUUCCCUUAGUAACGGCGAGUGAAGCGGGAAGAGCUCAAAUUUGAAAUCUUCAAGGUUUUUACCUUGACGAAUUGUAGUUUAAAGAAGUGUUUUCCUGUUGGAAGUUUUGGUAAAAGUUCUUUGGAAUAGGACAUCAUAGAGGGUGAGAAUCCCGUAUUUGACCUAUUAUUUUCUAGCUUUGUGAUACACUUUCAAAGAGUCGGAUUGUUUGGGAAUGCAGUCCAAAAUGGGUGGUAAAUUUCAUCUAAAGCUAAAUAUUGGCGAGAGACCGAUAGCGAACAAGUACCGUGAGGGAAAGAUGAAAAGAACUUUGAAAAGAGAGUUAAAGCAGUACGUGAAAUUGUCAAAAGGGAAGCGUUUUGACACCAGUGUUGUUUUUCUCGAAAAUCAAUUAAAAAAAAGUUGGAUUUUGUAUUGUUAAGACCUUAUCAGCUUACUGUACUCUUUUCUUGCUUUUUUUUAAUGCACUUUUCGUUUAACAAGUCAACAUCAAUUUCUUUUGUUGUAAAAGAGUCAUUGGAAGGUGGCUUUCACUUCGGUGAAAGUGUUUUAUAGCCCUUGGCUUCUGCAAUCGGAGAGAUUGAGGUCUGCAGCGUAGAUCCUUCGGGGCUAGAUACGUAGAUGCUAAGUUAUAGUUUUUUUAUAGACAACUUGUUGACUAUAAUUAAUCAUGUAGCUUACUCGUUUGCGCUAUUUUACCUACGCUUAGGAUGUUGAUCUGUAGUGCGUGCGC
Molecule: ribosomal RNA, 786 nt
Filed under: uncultured Neocallimastigales
Lineage: Eukaryota; Fungi; Neocallimastigomycota; Neocallimastigomycetes; Neocallimastigales
Description: partial large subunit ribosomal RNA
Rfam family: Eukaryotic large subunit ribosomal RNA
Source: RNAcentral